GACGAACGCUGGCGGCGUGCUUAACACAUGCAAGUCGAACGGAAAGGCCCUGCUUUUGUGGGGUGCUCGAGUGGCGAACGGGUGAGUAACACGUGAGUAACCUGCCCUUGACUUUGGGAUAACUUCAGGAAACUGGGGCUAAUACCGGAUAGGAGCUCCUGCUGCAUGGUGGGGGUUGGAAAGUUUCGGCGGUUGGGGAUGGACUCGCGGCUUAUCAGCUUGUUGGUGGGGUAGUGGCUUACCAAGGCUUUGACGGGUAGCCGGCCUGAGAGGGGGACCGGCCACAUUGAGACUGAGAUACGGCCCAGACUCCUACGGGAGGCAGCGGUGGAGAAUAUUGCACAGUGGGCGGAAGCCUGAUGCAGCAACGCCGCGUGCGGGAUGACGGCCUUCGGGUUGUAAACCGCUUUCGCCUGUGACGAAGCGUGAGUGACGGUAAUGGGUAAAGAAGCACCGGCUAACUACGUG
This 468-nucleotide ribosomal RNA is filed under the name uncultured bacterium. Its description in RNAcentral is "partial 16S ribosomal RNA". It matches the Rfam family "Bacterial small subunit ribosomal RNA", at positions 28 to 507 of the family's 1533-position model. The record is from RNAcentral.